This 269-nucleotide ribosomal RNA is filed under the name uncultured prokaryote. Its description in RNAcentral is "partial 16S ribosomal RNA". It matches the Rfam family "Bacterial small subunit ribosomal RNA", at positions 524 to 791 of the family's 1533-position model. The record is from RNAcentral.
UACGUAGGGUGCAAGCGUUGUCCGGAAUUACUGGGCGUAAAGAGCUCGUAGGUGGUUUGUCGCGUCGUCUGUGAAAUUCCGGGGCUUAACUCCGGGCGUGCAGGCGAUACGGGCAUAACUUGAGUACUGUAGGGGAGACUGGAAUUCCUGGUGUAGCGGUGAAAUGCGCAGAUAUCAGGAGGAACACCGGUGGCGAAGGCGGGUCUCUGGGCAGUAACUGACGCUGAGGAGCGAAAGCAUGGGUAGCGAACAGGAUUAGAUACCCUCCU